AUGGGAAUAUAAGGGCGUAUGGUGGAUGCCUAGACACAACAAAGCGAUGAAGGACGCAGCAUAGCGGCGAUACGCUUCGGGGAGAUGCUAAGCAAUCUUUGAUCCGGAGAUUUCCGAAUGGGGAAACCCUACAGACUUGAUCUGUAAUCUUGGUUUUAACCAAGAUGCGCACCCAGGGAAGUAAAACAUUUCAGUACCUGGAGGAACAGAAAACAAUCUCGCAAGAGAACCAUUAUCUUAGUAGCGGCGAGCGAAAAGGUAGGAGCCCAAACCGAGCUUUCCAAUGGAAGGCAGCAUCUAUUUAUUUAGAAGCUGCACUCCAUUGGGUAGCUCGGGGUUGUAAGGUGGCGAUAGAACAUUUAUGUUCAAAGAGUUACAAAAUAUUCCGUUAACAGAACGAGCUGGGAAGCUCGGCCCAAGUGGGUAAUAGCCCCGUAUGUGAAAACGAAAUAUCUCUUAUCGCUAUUCUUGAGUACUUCGAGACACGUGUAGCUCGGAGGAAUCCGCCGGAACUAACCGGCAAGGCUAAAUAUUUGUUGUGAUCGAUAGUGAACUAGUACCGUGAGGGAAAGGUGAAAAGCAGCCCGGUAAGGGCAGUGAAAUAGACCUGAAACCAUAUGCCUACAAGGAGUCGGAGCGGAAAUUUAUUUCCGUCACGGCGUGCCUAUUGAAGAAUGAGCCAACGAGUUGAUACAUGCUGCAGGCUAAGUCCGCGAGGAUGGAGCCAUAGGGAAACCGAGUGUUAAUAGCGCGAACGUAGUACGUAUCAGACCCGAAGCCAAAGCGAGCUUGCCAUGAGCAGGGUGAAGUUUGUCGAAAGACAGAUGGAGGCCCGAACCCGUAUGUCGUGCAACGCAUUGGGAUGACUUGUGGUAAGAAGUGAAAAGCUAAUCGAGCUUGGUAAUAGCUGGUUCUCUCCGAAAUAGCUUUUGGGUUAGCGUCGCGUGUUCCCUUGAGGGGUAGAGCACUGGAAGGACUCGACAGGGAGAAAUCUCGCGAGUCCUAUCAAACUCCGAAUACUCAAGGUCAUAGCGCGGCAGUCAGUCUAUGUGGGCUAAGCUACAUCAGACAAAAGGGAAACAGCCCAGAUCUCUAUUUAAGGUCCCUAAAUUCAUGUUAAGUGCACUGGAGGUGGUGGAGUCUCGAAGACAAUGAGGAGGUUUGCUUAGAAGCAGCCAUCCUUGAAAGAUAGCGUAACAGCUCACUCAUCGAGAGACUCUGCGCCGCAGAUAAGCGGGGCUAAAACAUGGUACCGAAACUGAGGGUUUUUUAUAUCUUCGGAUAUAUAAAGCGGUAGGAGAGUGUUCUUGUCCGCAAUGAAGGGAAAGGCGUGAGCCGUCCUGGAGCGUCAAGAAGCAAGAAUGUUGGCACAAGUAACCACAAUCGGGGUGAAAAACCCCGACGCCGAAAGAUCAAGGUUUCCUUCGCAACGAUUGUCGACGAAGGGUUAGUCGGGCCUAAGGGAAUGACGAAAGUCGGACUCGAUGGACACAUGGUUAAUAUUCCAUGACUUUCGCAUGUAGUGAUGGAGAGACGAAGUGUAGUAUGCAGAACGCAUUAUUGGAUUUGCGUUCAUGCUGUAAGGAAGUUCACCAGGCAAAUCCGGUGACUGGCUUCAAUGCCAAUUCCAAGCUGAGUGAUGCAGCGGAGGGUUCGCCUUCCGCCGAUUCUGCAAAGCACGCUUCCGAGAAAAUCUUCUAAACUUAUACAUGCGAGAACCGUACCGCAAACCGACACAGGUGAUCAGGUCGAGUAGACCAAGGCGAACGAGUGAGAGGUCUUCAAGGAACUCGGCAAAAAAGCAGCCGUAACUUUGGAAUAAGGCUUGCCGUUCUUAAUUUAUUAAGAUCGGCCGCAGCGAAAGUAUCUCUGGCAACUGUUUAUCAAAAACACAGCUCCCUGCGAACUCGCAAGAGGAUGUAUAGGGGGUGACGCCUGACCAAUGCGAGAAGGUCAACUAUCGACGUUGUAUAGUAGCAAUAUUAUAUGGUGAUUGAUAUAAGCCCUCGUGAAUGUCGGCCGUAACUAUAACGGUCCUAAGGUUUUGCAUUUGAGUGCAAACUCGAAUGUAAAACGGACUAGGACAGGUUAUAGAAAAAGAUAAACAAUUAAUAAAAAUUUCAGGAACCAUUUCAGCUACCUAGUAUUAUAGUAAUGUAGUAUUAGUCCAUACUUGAUGAACGAGAGACCAACGUCAAGCAUCCUAAUCUGUAAAGAUGGAUGAAGAUAGAGUCCUUCUUAGGGGUACAGAAGAGCGAAGUACCUUGUCGGGUAAGUUCCGACGCGCACGAAUGGCGUAAUGACUGGAGAACUGUCUCGAAGACCUGCUCGGUGAAAAUACAAUACCGGUGAAGAUGCCGGUUACCUGCAGAU
RNAcentral lists this ribosomal RNA (2373 nucleotides) under wastewater metagenome. RNAcentral describes it as "bacterial LSU rRNA". It matches the Rfam family "Bacterial large subunit ribosomal RNA", at positions 1 to 2077 of the family's 2925-position model. The record is from RNAcentral.